AGGUUACGAUGUCGAUUUAGAGGUUGUGGUCUUGAACCGUGGCUUCUGGAGCUAACGCGUUAAAUCGACCGCCUGGGGAGUACGGCCGCAAGGUUAAAACUCAAAUGAAUUGACGGGGGCCCGCACAAGCGGUGGAGCAUGUGGUUUAAUUCGAUGCAACGCGAAGAACCUUACCUACUCUUGACAUCCAGCGAAUCCUUUAGAGAUAGAGGAGUGCCUUCGGGAACGCUGAGACAGGUGCUGCAUGGCUGUCGUCAGCUCGUGUUGUGAAAUGUUGGGUUAAGUCCCCGCAACGAAAA
Molecule: ribosomal RNA, 299 nt
Filed under: Proteus sp. (in: enterobacteria)
Lineage: Bacteria; Pseudomonadati; Pseudomonadota; Gammaproteobacteria; Enterobacterales; Morganellaceae
Description: Proteus sp. partial 16S ribosomal RNA
Rfam family: Bacterial small subunit ribosomal RNA
Source: RNAcentral